This 327-nucleotide ribosomal RNA is filed under the name Triticum aestivum (bread wheat). RNAcentral's name for it is "partial small subunit ribosomal RNA". The record is from RNAcentral. Lineage: Eukaryota; Viridiplantae; Streptophyta; Magnoliopsida; Poales; Poaceae.
AUGCCUGGAGGGAGGACCGCACACUCGAGGUUCAAGAUUCCACUAAAAAUAGAUGAUGGAGCUAUUUGUAGCUUCACAAAACAGAGUGGGACAGCAAAGCUACGCCAAGCAGCAUCACCAAUAAUCUGGGAUGAAGCAUCUAUGACAAAGAGACAGACGGUGGAGGCGCUAGACAAAAGCAUGCGGGACAUAAUGGAUAGACCAGAUCUUCCAUUUGUUGGAAAAACGAUCGUAUUUGGGGGAGAUUUCAGACAAGUGCUACCUGUUGUCCGAAAGGGAACAAGAACCCAGAUAGUAGAUGCAUCACUACGCAGGUCAGAGCUCUAG